Molecule: long non-coding RNA, 223 nt
Organism: Homarus americanus (American lobster)
Lineage: Eukaryota; Metazoa; Arthropoda; Malacostraca; Decapoda; Nephropidae
Exons: 3
Source: RefSeq, a predicted model, not a curated record
CUCUUGUUCUUCCCUCACACCUCAACAUGGUUCUUAAGGUUUUCGUCAUCGCUGUCCUUGUGGCCGUCACUAUCGCUGACACUAUCCCCUACACCCCUCCACAUCCCUCCUACAACGCUCCUGCCCCUACUGGUCCUGCCCAGUACAACUUUGACUGGUCAGUGAACGACGCAAACUCCGGCAACGACUACGGCCACAACGAAGGUCGUAAUGGAUACAUACU